Molecule: ribosomal RNA, 357 nt
Filed under: uncultured Pelotomaculum sp.
Lineage: Bacteria; Bacillati; Bacillota; Clostridia; Eubacteriales; Desulfotomaculaceae
Description: bacterial SSU rRNA
Rfam family: Bacterial small subunit ribosomal RNA
Source: RNAcentral
GGGAGACAGGUGGUGCGAUGGUUGUCGUCAGCUCGUGUCGUGAGAUGUUGGGUUAAGUCCCGCAACGAGCGCAACCCCUACGUUUAGUUGCUAACGCGUGAAGGCGAGCACUCUAGACGAACUGCCGUUGACAAAACGGAGGAAGGUGGGGAUGACGUCAAAUCAUCAUGCCCCUUAUGUUCUGGGCUACACACGUGCUACAAUGGCCGGUACAGACGGAGGCGAAGCCGCGAGGCGGAGCAAAAUCCGAAAAAGCCGGUCUCAGUUCGGAUUGCAGGCUGCAAUUCGCCUGCAUGAAGUCGGAAUCGCUAGUAAUCGCAGGUCAGCAUACUCGCGGUCGAAUACGUUCCGGGCCUU